GAUGAACGCUGGCGGCGUGCCUAAUACAUGCAAGUCGAGCGAACAGACGAGGAGCUUGCUCCUCUGACGUUAGCGGCGGACGGGUGAGUAACACGUGGAUAACCUACCUAUAAGACUGGGAUAACUUCGGGAAACCGGAGCUAAUACCGGAUAAUAUAUUGAACCGCAUGGUUCAAUAGUGAAAGACGGUUUUGCUGUCACUUAUAGAUGGAUCCGCGCCGCAUUAGCUAGUUGGUAAGGUAACGGCUUACCAAGGCAACGAUGCGUAGCCGACCUGAGAGGGUGAUCGGCCACCCUGGAACUGGGCCACGGUCCAGACUCCUGCGGGAGGCACCAGUAGGGAAUCUUCCGCAAUGGGCGAAAGCCUUACGGAGCGACGCCGCGUGUGUGAUGAAGGUCUUCGGAUCGUAAAACUCUGUUAUUAGUGAAGAACAAAUGUGUAAGUAACUAUGCACGUCUUGACGGUACCUAAUCAGAAAGCCCCGGCUAACUACGUG
RNAcentral lists this ribosomal RNA (497 nucleotides) under uncultured bacterium. Its description in RNAcentral is "partial 16S ribosomal RNA". It matches the Rfam family "Bacterial small subunit ribosomal RNA", at positions 28 to 507 of the family's 1533-position model. The record is from RNAcentral.